This 213-nucleotide non-coding RNA is filed under the name Levilactobacillus senmaizukei. Its description in RNAcentral is "Lactobacillus senmaizukei T-box sequence". It matches the Rfam family "T-box leader". Rfam says of the family: Uncharged tRNA acts as the effector for transcription antitermination of genes in the T-box leader family. T-boxes are found upstream of many aminoacyl-tRNA synthetase genes and some amino acid biosynthetic genes usually in Gram-positive bacteria. Lineage: Bacteria; Bacillati; Bacillota; Bacilli; Lactobacillales; Lactobacillaceae. The record is from RNAcentral.
AAAGUGGCGUUGAUCAAGUCAGUAGCGCUAGUGGGAUUGCUUAGAGAGCCGGGAUUGCUGGGAACCGGUCAAACCACUGGGGUGAAUGUAGCUUGGGAGCCGAAGGACUGAAUUUGAGUAAGUCCUGUCCGGAGCACACUCCGUUAACAAAGAAGUUAAGUGGGGCUUGAACGCCCAAUUUAGGUGGUACCGCGAAGAGACUUCGUCCUAAUG